Molecule: ribosomal RNA, 1497 nt
Filed under: uncultured bacterium
Lineage: Bacteria
Description: 16S ribosomal RNA
Rfam family: Bacterial small subunit ribosomal RNA
Source: RNAcentral
GUUUGAUUCUGGCUCAGGAUGAACGCUGGCGGCAUGCCUAAUACAUGCAAGUCGAACGGAGUGAAGCCUUCGGGUUUCAUUCAGUGGCGAACGGGUGAGUAAUACGCAGGGAACCUGGCCAUGGCAGGGGGAUACACUCUGGAAACGGAGCAUAAGACCCCAUAGGCAGUAAGGCGGCAUCGCCUUACUGUUAAAGAAAGCUGAAAGGCUUUGGCGAUGGAUGGACCUGCGGUGCAUUAGCUUGUUGGUGAGGCAACGGCUUACCAAGGCGAUGAUGCAUAGCCGGCCUGAGAGGGCGGACGGCCACACUGGGACUGAGACACGGCCCAGACUCCUGCGGGAGGCAGCAGUAGGGAAUUUUCGUCAAUGGGCGCAAGCCUGAACGAGCAAUGCCGCGUGAGUGAGGAAGGUCUUCGGACUGUAAAGCUCUGUUGCCGGGGAAAAAGGGGAAAUGCAGGAAAUGGCAUUUCAUGGAUGGUACCCGGCCAGAAAGCCACGGCUAACUACGUGCCAGCAGCCGCGGUAAUACGUAGGUGGCGAGCGUUAUCCGGAAUGAUUGGGCGUAAAGGGUGCGCAGGCGGUCUGUUAAGUCUGAAGGCAAAGGGAUGAGCUCAACUCAUUUAUGAUUCAGAAACUGGCAGACUUGAGGACAGGAGAGGGCGGUGGAACUCCAUGUGUAGCGGUAAAAUGCGCAGAGAUAUGGAAGAACACCAGUGGCGAAGGCGGCCGCCUGGCCUGUGACUGACGCUGAGGCACGAAAGCGUGGGGAGCAAAUAGGAUUAGAUACCCUAGUAGUCCACGCCGUAAACGAUGAGGAGCAGGUGUUGGGAGUGAAAUCUCAGUGCCGAAGCCAACGCAGUGACUCCUCCGCCUGGGGAGUAUGCACGCAAGUGUGAAACUCAAAGGAAUUGACGGGGGCCCGCACAAGCGGUGGAGUAUGUGGUUUAAUUCGAAGCAACGCGAAGAACCUUACCAGGUUUUGACAUCGGAUGCGAAGGCGCAGAGAUGCGCUGGAGGCUAUCAUCCAGACAGGUGGUGCAUGGUUGUCGUCAGCUCGUGUCGUGAGAUGUUCAGUUAAGUCUGGCAACGAGCGCAACCCCCGUGGUAUGUUACUAACGCAUUUGGGCGAGGACUCAUAUCAGACUGCCGGUGACAAACCGGAGGAAGGCGGGGAUGACGUCAAAUCAUCAUGCCCCUUAUGACCUGGGCUACACACGUACUACAAUGGCGUCUACAGAGGGAAGCGACCCUGAGAAGGGAAGCGAAACCGGAAAAGGGCGUCCCAGUUCGGAUUGAAGUCUGCAACCCGACUUCAUGAAGAUGGAAUCGCUAGUAAUCGCGGAUCAGCAUGCCGCGGUGAAUACGUUCCCGGGCCUUGUACACACCGCCCGUCAAACCAUGGAAGCCGGCAACGCCCGAAGCCGGUGGCAUAACCUUUUAGGAGUGAGCCGUCGAAGGCGGGGCCGAUGACUGGGGUUAAGUCGUAACAAGGUAACC